Molecule: long non-coding RNA, 367 nt
Organism: Gopherus flavomarginatus (Mexican gopher tortoise)
Lineage: Eukaryota; Metazoa; Chordata; Testudines; Testudinidae
Exons: 3
Source: RefSeq, a predicted model, not a curated record
UGUAAAAGAAAAGCUCCUCCUGCGAUUUGUCAGAUUAAAGCAAUUUUUAUAUGAUUUUAAAUGAAACCUGUUAUUUCUGUCUGAGAACCAUUACAAUGUUUUAAGAGUUACAUGGACUUUUUUUUUUUUAUCAUCGUGUCAGAGAUGAGUGAACGGGGAUAAAUCGAUAAUAGUGGACACUGAUGGACACCCCACCUCCUUCGUUUGGUGACAAAUUCUAGACUGGCAAGGUUCUCAAUAUAACACAGAUGACCUAUCCUGUUGCAGUUUACAAGAAAGCACACAGACUCCCCAACUGAGACUGGGGCCCCGAUGUCCUAGGCACUGGACAGAGGCAGUUCUUGUUCUGAAGGGAGUACAGUCUAAA